GCCAGCCGUCCGUAGCUCGUUGAAUGCACCACUUCCCGUCAGAUCAGUGAAGUUGAGUCAGCGAAUGCGUGGUUGGUACUCAGAUGGGUGAUUGUCUGAGUACUGAUUACGUGAUGCUGGCA
RNAcentral lists this ribosomal RNA (122 nucleotides) under Diaphorina citri (Asian citrus psyllid). The record is from RNAcentral. Lineage: Eukaryota; Metazoa; Arthropoda; Insecta; Hemiptera; Psyllidae.